GCAGUGGUGGUUUAGCGGUAGAAUUCUCACUUUCCAUGUGGGGGACCUGGGUUCCAUUCCUGGCCAAUGCA
This 71-nucleotide transfer RNA is filed under the name Loxodonta africana (African savanna elephant). It matches the Rfam family "tRNA". From Rfam's summary of the family: Transfer RNA (tRNA) molecules are approximately 80 nucleotides in length. The record is from Rfam by way of RNAcentral. Lineage: Eukaryota; Metazoa; Chordata; Mammalia; Proboscidea; Elephantidae.